Molecule: ribosomal RNA, 495 nt
Filed under: uncultured bacterium
Lineage: Bacteria
Description: partial 16S ribosomal RNA
Rfam family: Bacterial small subunit ribosomal RNA
Source: RNAcentral
GACGAACGCUGGCGGCGUGCCUAAUACAUGCAAGUAGAACGCUGAAGGAGGAGCUUGCUCUUCUGGAUGAGUUGCGAACGGGUGAGUAACGCGUAGGUAACCUGCCUGGUAGCGGGGGAUAACUAUUGGAAACGAUAGCUAAUACCGCAUAACAGUAGAUGUUGCAUGACAUUUACUUAAAAGGUGCAAUUGCAUCACUACCAGAUGGACCUGCGUUGUAUUAGCUAGUUGGUGGGGUAACGGCUCACCAAGGCGACGAUACAUAGCCGACCUGAGAGGGUGAUCGGCCACACUGGGACUGAGACACGGCCCAGACUCCUACGGGAGGCAGCAGUAGGGAAUCUUCGGCAAUGCACGGAAGUCUGACCGAGCAACGCCGCGUGAGUGAAGAAGGUUGUCGGAUCGUAAAGCUCUGUUGUAAGAGAAGAACGAGUGUGAGAGUGGAAAGUUCACACUGUGACGGUAUCUUACCAGAAAGGGACGGCUAACUACGUG